RNAcentral lists this ribosomal RNA (318 nucleotides) under Microrhagus pygmaeus. Its description in RNAcentral is "partial 12S ribosomal RNA". The record is from RNAcentral. Lineage: Eukaryota; Metazoa; Arthropoda; Insecta; Coleoptera; Eucnemidae.
AUUUAUACUUGAAAAUUAAAUUAUGUGGCGGUAUUUUAAUCUAAUCAGAGGAACCUGUUAAUUAAUUGAUAAUUCACGAUCUUAUUUACUUUUAUUUUUAAUUUGUAUAUCGUUGUGAUUAAUUAUUUAAUAUUAUAUAAUUAAUAGUUAAUAAAUUUUAUUUUAUUUUUAAUCAAAUCAAGAUACAGUUUAUAUAAAAGAUUUAAUGGGUUACAUUAAAAUUAUUUUUGGAAGUGUGUAGUUAAUUUACACAGAUAAAAUUGGAUUUGAUAGUAAUUUUAUUUAGGUAUUUAAUGUGAUUUUAGUUCUAAAAUAUGU